Molecule: transfer RNA, 101 nt
Filed under: compost metagenome
Description: tRNA-Gly
Source: RNAcentral
UUGGCGUUCUGGCUGAUGUUGAUGAAGCCGCCCGCCCCCGCCAGGCGCGGGCCGAACUUGCUCACGUUGAGGUUGCCGUGCUGGUCGGCCUGCGCCAGGCC